Molecule: transfer RNA, 63 nt
Filed under: Oscillatoria sp. FACHB-1407
Lineage: Bacteria; Bacillati; Cyanobacteriota; Cyanophyceae; Oscillatoriales; Oscillatoriaceae
Description: tRNA-Thr
Rfam family: tRNA
About the family: Transfer RNA (tRNA) molecules are approximately 80 nucleotides in length.
Source: RNAcentral
AGCUCAACGGUAGAGCAAUCGCCUUGUAAGCGAAAGGUUGCAGGUUCAUUAUGUUCCCCUGCA